RNAcentral lists this ribosomal RNA (492 nucleotides) under uncultured bacterium. RNAcentral's name for it is "partial 16S ribosomal RNA". It matches the Rfam family "Bacterial small subunit ribosomal RNA", at positions 29 to 507 of the family's 1533-position model. The record is from RNAcentral.
AGUGAACGCUGGCGGUAGGCCUAACACAUGCAAGUCGAACGGCAGCACAGUUAUUGCUUGCUCUUACGGGUGGCGAGUGGCGUACGUGUGAUGAUUACAUCGGAAUCUACUUUUUCUUUUGGGAUAACGUAGGGAAACUUACGCUAAUACCGCAUACGUCCUACGGGUGUAAGCUGUGGAUCUUCUGACCUUGCGCGUUUUAUUGAGCCGAUGUCGGAUUUGCUAGUUGGCGGGGUAAAGGCCCACCAAGGCGACGAUCCGAAGCUGGUCUGAGAGGAUGAUCAGCAAAACGGGAAGUGAGAAACGGUACAGAGUACUACGGGAGGCAGAAGUGGGGAAUAUGGGACAAUGGGGGGAAGCAUGAAACAGAAAUACCGCGUGGGAGAAGAAGGACUACGGGUUGUAAAGCCAGUUUGUUGGGAAAGAAAAGAAGGAGGAAAAAACCAAGCUGUUGUGACGGUACCAAAAGAAUAAGCACCGGCUAACUACGUG